This 253-nucleotide ribosomal RNA is filed under the name uncultured bacterium. RNAcentral describes it as "partial 16S ribosomal RNA". It matches the Rfam family "Bacterial small subunit ribosomal RNA", at positions 524 to 776 of the family's 1533-position model. The record is from RNAcentral.
UACGUAGGGUGCAAGCGUUAAUCCGAAUUACUGGGCGUAAAGCGUGCGCAGGCGGCUUUGCAAGACAGAUGUGAAAUCCCCGGGCUUAACCUGGGAACUGCAUUUGUGACUGCAUGGCUGGAGUGCGGCAGAGGGGGAUGGAAUUCCGCGUGUAGCAGUGAAAUGCGUAGAUAUGCGGAGGAACACCGAUGGCGAAGGCAAUCCCCUGGGCCUGCACUGACGCUCAUGCACGAAAGCGUGGGGAGCAAACAGG